RNAcentral lists this ribosomal RNA (450 nucleotides) under uncultured Verrucomicrobiota bacterium. RNAcentral's name for it is "bacterial SSU rRNA". It matches the Rfam family "Bacterial small subunit ribosomal RNA", at positions 434 to 896 of the family's 1533-position model. Lineage: Bacteria; Pseudomonadati; Verrucomicrobiota. The record is from RNAcentral.
GUCAUGCGGGAACAAGAAAGUGAUAGUACCGCAAGAGGAAGGGACGGCUAACUCUGUGCCAGCAGCCGCGGUAAUACAGAGGUCCCGAGCGUUGUUCGGAUUCAUUGGGCGUAAAGGGUGCGUAGGUGGCGAUGUAAGUCUGGUGUGAAAUCUCAGGGCUCAACCUUGAAAUUGCAUUGGGAUACUGCGUUGCUUGAGGAUUGUAGAGGAGAGUGGAAUUCACGGUGUAGCAGUGAAAUGCGUAGAUAUCGUGAGGAAGACCAGUUGCGAAGGCGACUCUCUGGGCAAUUCCUGACACUGAGGCACGAAGGCCAGGGGAGCAAACGGGAUUAGAUACCCCGGUAGUCCUGGCAGUAAACGGUGCACGUUUGGUGUGGGCGGGUUCAGACCCCGUCCGUGCCAGAGCUAACGCGUUAAACGUGCCGCCUGGGAAGUACGGUCGCAAGAUUA